CAGAGUAGACAUCCCGUGAAAGUAACACCCAAUAUACUUUCUUUCGUUCAAAUUGUGGUAAAUUUCAUCUAAAAAAUAGUCUUACUAAAAUCAUGAAAUACUUAUACUUAGAUUAUAUAAAUUUUCUCAGAUUUCAUUAUAUGAUAAAUUUAAUUUUUAAGCUAAAUGAUAAGUAUCAAUUAAGGAAAUAACACAGAAAGCAAUAAUUUUAUUUUUCGUGGAAGAUGGCCUGUACGAUGAGGUAUCUUUGGGUACCCUAAGAAACCACAAAAUUUUGAAAAACGUGACCACGGGAGCUUACGACGACUUUCAUGAUUGGAAAAUAUAAUGAUUUUCCAAUAGUUUGCAUAUAAAUGUAGCCGUGUGUUAUCCGUUAACUUAAACUCGUUAACUAGACGUCUUUUUCGAUACUGGGCACCCUACUACAAGUGACAGUAAACAAUACGUUCUUUAAAGUAAGACAUUACAUUUUGUUGACAUUUAACGUAAAACA
RNAcentral lists this long non-coding RNA (493 nucleotides) under Mytilus galloprovincialis (Mediterranean mussel). Lineage: Eukaryota; Metazoa; Mollusca; Bivalvia; Mytilida; Mytilidae. The record is from RNAcentral.